RNAcentral lists this ribosomal RNA (484 nucleotides) under uncultured Acidobacteriota bacterium. Its description in RNAcentral is "bacterial SSU rRNA". It matches the Rfam family "Bacterial small subunit ribosomal RNA", at positions 8 to 522 of the family's 1533-position model. The record is from RNAcentral. Lineage: Bacteria; Pseudomonadati; Acidobacteriota.
AGAGUUUGAUCUUGGCUCAGAAUCAACGCUGGCGGCGCGCCUAACACAUGCAAGUCGAACGAGAAAGCAGGAGCAAUCUUGUGAGUAAAGUGGCGUACGGGUGAGUAACACGUGGAUCAUCUACCCUCUUGUGGGGGAUAACCCUGGGAAACCGGGGCUAAUACCGCAUAAGCUCGAGAGAGGAAAGCAGCAAUGCGCUGGAGGAGGAGUCCGCGGCCGAUUAGCUAGUUGGUAGGGUAAAAGCCUACCAAGGCAUCGAUCGGUAGCCGGCCUGAGAGGGCACACGGCCACACUGGCACUGAAACACGGGCCAGACUCCUACGGGAGGCAGCAGUGGGGAAUCUUGCACAAUGGGGGAAACCCUGAUGCAGCGACGCCGCGUGAGCGAUGAAGCCCUUCGGGGUGUAAAGCUCUUUCGGCAGGGAAGAUUAUGACGGUACCUGCAGAAGCAGCUGCGGCUAACUACGUGCCAGCAGCCGCGGUA